UANUCCUGGCCGUAGACGAUGGGUACUAGGUGUAGGAGGUAUCGACCCCUUCUGUGCCGGAGUUAACGCAAUAAGUACCCCGCCUGGGGAGUACGACCGCAAGGUUGAAACUCAAAGGAAUUGACGGGGGCCCGCACAAGCGGUGGAGUAUGUGGUUUAAUUCGACGCAACGCGAAGAACCUUACCAGGUCUUGACAUUGAUGGACAGAACCAGAGACGGUUCCUCUUCUUCGGAAGCCAGAAAACAGGUGGUGCACGGUUGUCGUCAGCUCGUGUCGUGAGAUGUUGGGUUAAGUCCCGCAACGAGCGCAACCCCUAUCUUAUGUUGCCAGCACUUUGGGUGGGGACUCAUGAGAGACUGCCGCAGACAAUGCGGAGGAAGGCGGGGAUGACGUCAAAUCAUCAUGCCCCUUAUGACCUGGGCUACACACGUACUACAAUGGGAGUUAAUAGACGGAAGCGAGAUCGCGAGAUGGAGCAAACCCGAGAAACACUCUCUCAGUUCGGAUCGUAGGCUGCAACUCGCCUA
Molecule: ribosomal RNA, 529 nt
Filed under: uncultured bacterium
Lineage: Bacteria
Description: bacterial SSU rRNA
Rfam family: Bacterial small subunit ribosomal RNA
Source: RNAcentral